CCUACGGGUGGCAGCAGUGAGGAAUAUUGGUCAAUGGACGCAAGCCUGAACCAGCCAUGCCGCGUGCAGGAUGACGGCUCUACGAGUCGUAAACCGCUUUUGUACGAGGGCAAACCCCGAUACGUGUACCGGGCUGAAAGUAUCGUACGAAUAAGGAUCGGCUAACUCCGUGCCAGCAGCCGCGGUAAUACGGAGGAUCCGAGCGUUAUCCGGAUUUAUUGGGUUUAAAGGGUGCGUAGGCGGGAUGCCAAGUCAGCGGUAAAAUCGCGGGGCUCAACCUCCCUCCGCCGUUGAAACUGGCGGUCUUGAGUGGGCGAGAAGUAUGCGGAAUGCGUGGUGUAGCGGUGAAAUGCAUAGAUAUCACGCAGAACUCCGAUUGCGAAGGCAGCAUACCGGCGCCCAACUGACGCUGAGGCACGAAAGCGUGGGUAUCGAACAGGAUUAGAUACCCGAGUAGUC
RNAcentral lists this ribosomal RNA (459 nucleotides) under uncultured bacterium. RNAcentral's name for it is "partial 16S ribosomal RNA". It matches the Rfam family "Bacterial small subunit ribosomal RNA", at positions 338 to 795 of the family's 1533-position model. The record is from RNAcentral.